RNAcentral lists this ribosomal RNA (792 nucleotides) under Xanthoparmelia sp. Its description in RNAcentral is "partial small subunit ribosomal RNA". It matches the Rfam family "Bacterial small subunit ribosomal RNA", at positions 391 to 1160 of the family's 1533-position model. Lineage: Eukaryota; Fungi; Ascomycota; Lecanoromycetes; Lecanorales; Parmeliaceae. The record is from RNAcentral.
GCUACUUGCAUCAUUGUAGAUAUGAUGUAAGAUCGACUAUGUUGAAUAAAAUUCUAGGUAGAAUUAUGAUAAUGACAUUGUCUGCCUAUGUGUCUUGACCAAAUUACGUGCCAGCAGUCGCGGUAAUACGUAGAAGACUAGUGUUAUUCAUGUUUAAUCGGUUUAAAGGGUACCUAGACGGUAGAUCAAGCUUUCUAAUAAAUGAAAAGGACUAAUUUACUAGAGUUACUUAUGAGGGGGUAUUAAAGUACUGCUGGUGUAGAGAUGAAAUUCUGUCAUACCUCUUUUCAAAAGAAAAACCAUGGCACAGGUAUAGGCGAAGGCAUCCCCUUAUGUGAUAACUGACGUUGAGGGACGAAGGCUUUGUGUAGCGAACAGGAUUAGAUACCCCAGUAGUCGAAGCAGAAAAUGAUGAAUGUCAUAGAUUAGAUGUAUAAGUUUAUUCUAUAAAUGAAAGUGUAAGCAUUCCACCUCAUGAGUAAUUUGGCAACAUUGGAACUGAAAUCAUUAGACCGUUUCUGAAACCAGUAGUGAAGUAUGUUGUUUAAUUUGAUGAUCCGCAAAAAACCUUACCACAAUUUGAAUAUUUAUAUUUUUUUUAUUGUUUUUUUCUUAAGAGAUAAAUAAUUAAAGAAAAAAAUCAAAAAAGGAAGAAAAUUAAGAAAGAGGCAAUAAGAUAUAUUUACAAGCGUUGCACGGCUGUCUUCAGUUAAUGUCGCGAGACUUUGGUUAGUUCCAUUAAAUUAACGUAAACCCUUACUUUAUUUUUAUAUAGAGUAGUUCCCCGCUAUA